GACGAACGCUGGCGGCGUGCUUAACACAUGCAAGUCGAACGGGUCUGCCCUGUUUUUUGCGGGGUGGGUCAGUGGCGAACGGGUGAGUAACACGUGAGUAACCUGCCCCUCACUUCUGGAUAACCGCUUGAAAGGGUGGCUAAUACGGGGUGUUCUGGCUGUGCCGCAUGGUGUGGCUGGGAAAGAUUCACUUUUGUGGUGUUUUGGUGGGGGAUGGGCUCGCGGCCUAUCAGCUUGUUGGUGGGGUGAUGGCCUGCCAAGGCUUUGACGGGUAGCCGGCCUGAGAGGGUGGGCGGUCACACUGGGACUGAGGUACGGCCCAGACUCCUGCGGGAGGCAGCAGUGGGGGGUAUUGCACAAUGGGCGGAAGCCUGAUGCAGCGACGUCGCGUGAGGGAUGGAGGCCUUCGGGUUGUGAACCUCUUUCGCCGGUGAAGAAGGUCCUGCUCUUUGUGGUGGGGUUGACGGUAGCCGGGUUAUGAAGCGCCGGCUAACUACGUG
Molecule: ribosomal RNA, 500 nt
Filed under: uncultured bacterium
Lineage: Bacteria
Description: partial 16S ribosomal RNA
Rfam family: Bacterial small subunit ribosomal RNA
Source: RNAcentral